Molecule: ribosomal RNA, 792 nt
Filed under: Bacillus sp. (in: firmicutes)
Lineage: Bacteria; Bacillati; Bacillota; Bacilli; Caryophanales; Bacillaceae
Description: bacterial SSU rRNA
Rfam family: Bacterial small subunit ribosomal RNA
Source: RNAcentral
CGAGCGGACAGAAGGGAGCUUGCUCCCGGAUGUUAGCGGCGGACGGGUGAGUAACACGUGGGUAACCUGCCUGUAAGACUGGGAUAACUCCGGGAAACCGGAGCUAAUACCGGAUAGUUCCUUGAACCGCAUGGUUCAAGGAUGAAAGACGGUUUCGGCUGUCACUUACAGAUGGACCCGCGGCGCAUUAGCUAGUUGGUGAGGUAACGGCUCACCAAGGCGACGAUGCGUAGCCGACCUGAGAGGGUGAUCGGCCACACUGGGACUGAGACACGGCCCAGACUCCUACGGGAGGCAGCAGUAGGGAAUCUUCCGCAAUGGACGAAAGUCUGACGGAGCAACGCCGCGUGAGUGAUGAAGGUUUUCGGAUCGUAAAGCUCUGUUGUUAGGGAAGAACAAGUGCAAGAGUAACUGCUUGCACCUUGACGGUACCUAACCAGAAAGCCACGGCUAACUACGUGCCAGCAGCCGCGGUAAUACGUAGGUGGCAAGCGUUGUCCGGAAUUAUUGGGCGUAAAGGGCUCGCAGGCGGUUUCUUAAGUCUGAUGUGAAAGCCCCCGGCUCAACCGGGGAGGGUCAUUGGAAACUGGGAAACUUGAGUGCAGAAGAGGAGAGUGGAAUUCCACGUGUAGCGGUGAAAUGCGUAGAGAUGUGGAGGAACACCAGUGGCGAAGGCGACUCUCUGGUCUGUAACUGACGCUGAGGAGCGAAAGCGUGGGGAGCGAACAGGAUUAGAUACCCUGGUAGUCCACGCCGUAAACGAUGAGUGCUAAGUGUUAGGGGGUUUCCGCC